RNAcentral lists this ribosomal RNA (253 nucleotides) under uncultured bacterium. RNAcentral describes it as "partial 16S ribosomal RNA". It matches the Rfam family "Bacterial small subunit ribosomal RNA", at positions 524 to 776 of the family's 1533-position model. The record is from RNAcentral.
UACGAAGGGGGCUAGCGUUGUUCGGAAUCACUGGGCGUAAAGCGCACGUAGGCGGAUUGCUAAGUCAGGGGUGAAAUCCUGGAGCUCAACUCCAGAACUGCCUUUGAUACUGGCGAUCUUGAGUCCGGGAGAGGUGAGUGGAACUGCGAGUGUAGAGGUGAAAUUCGUAGAUAUUCGCAAGAACACCAGUGGCGAAGGCGGCUCACUGGCCCGGUACUGACGCUGAGGUGCGAAAGCGUGGGGAGCGAACAGG